Molecule: small RNA, 79 nt
Filed under: Flavobacterium gillisiae
Lineage: Bacteria; Pseudomonadati; Bacteroidota; Flavobacteriia; Flavobacteriales; Flavobacteriaceae
Description: Flavo-1 RNA
Rfam family: Flavo-1 RNA
Source: RNAcentral
CCUUAGCCCUGAUUGCAGUGGAAAUCCUUUUUAUUUUUUCUUAAAAAUAAAAAGAUUGAAGCGGAAAGCAGGAAACAGC